RNAcentral lists this small RNA (432 nucleotides) under Histoplasma ohiense. Its description in RNAcentral is "hypothetical lncRNA". Lineage: Eukaryota; Fungi; Ascomycota; Eurotiomycetes; Onygenales; Ajellomycetaceae. The record is from RNAcentral.
CUGAGAUUGGGAUUGGUGGUGCUUCUCUGUGACGAUUUCGAAGCCUUAUUCCCGGUAUUUACUCGCAGAAUCCUUUCCGAUUGCUUUCUAUUCAAGUACUGGCUGAGAACCAUGCGAUUAGUGCUUUGAAACAAAAUCAAUAUUAGAUAUUGUUUUAUCACUUUCACUCAUUUUCGCUGGUAGAUUAUUGUUGUCCCGGGCUGUGUUUCUGUCGCUAAACGCUCCUCUCUUUUAAUAUUAAAUUUCUUCUUUUUGUCUUUCGGUUUCUUGCCUUAAUUGGGUCGCUCAUGUUUCGUUAUCAGAUUAUCUGAUGAGUAUGACAGAGCUGGCUUCCCACAUCCAAAUUGUGUACCUGUCAUCCUUUCUUCUCUUUUCUUUAUGCUUUGACUUGUAGUUUUUAUACGGAGCGACCGCUGUUAUUAAUAAUUAGUU